Molecule: long non-coding RNA, 1275 nt
Organism: Bombus huntii
Lineage: Eukaryota; Metazoa; Arthropoda; Insecta; Hymenoptera; Apidae
Exons: 2
Source: RefSeq, a predicted model, not a curated record
AUCACAGAGUCGACGAGCUACUCUCAUCUUGCGCCGCCCCUCUACCAGUGAUCGUGAGAUCGUCUACGAUUUACGGAAUAGUCGAAAGAAGCAGCAGAUACUGUCAACGUCUGAAAGUUUUCAGCGUCACUGCGGCUUGUCGAUAAAUAUUAACGAAUAAAUAAUAUGGAAACACAUCAACGAACCGCAUGUUUCUCAUAAUUUAACGUUAAUAGUUUAACGUUCGUUGGCGAUACGUUCGGUUUCGAGUUAGCGUUCGCUCGAACAGAAAACUCGUGUUACUGUUAUUUCAGCAUUGUGAAUGAAGAAACCAAGGGAGGACAGAAUAAAGUAAAGGCAGUGGCUUAUAAGAAGAGAUACAUUUUCGCCUACGAAAUUCGCUGCGGAAGAUUUUCACGAUGAACGUUGAAGAUCUGGAAAUACCGUCAAUAUACAGUGAACGUCUGAGCAUCCUCUUGGAUUUUAAACUCUCAGUAUGGCUAUUAGAUGAGUAUUAGUACAAUUAGGGAGAAGAAAUAAGCGAAUUGAUAAUGGAAAUAUCAUAGCCCAACAAGGUUUGAAGAGAUCUGUCUAUCCUUUUCCUAUGUGUUUUUUACCUUGAAGACUUUUGUUACUUUUGCGGAAACUGGAAUAUUAAAUAAAAUGAAAUGUUAGUUGAGCAGUGUGGAAGAAGAUGAAGGAGGGAAAGAGAAGGAGCAAAGCGAUAUUUAUUGUCGGUUUUUACAAGUAGAAAGUAAGCAAAGUUGAUUAUCGCUCUGUUUCUUUUAGGGAAAUCCUUAAUUGGUAUCGAUAUACCUUUUUCCCAAUAGUUUCUCUCUUAUCCGGCUAGCGAUGUAACUCGCGCAAUAACAUACACGCUAUUGGCACGCGAUUUUAUCAACACAGUGAAAAACAGGCGAAACGAAGAAGAAGAAACUACGGGUUACGCUAAGAUAACUGGCCGAAACAGAAGCAGAAUCGGAACAAAGUUAAAUUUACAAAAAUGUAAUUUGAAUCUAAAUUUCCAUUUAUGGGAUAUUGUAUUUCCCAAUACAAUCAUAAAAAGUGCACAAUAUCGUUUACCAUCUUCGUUCCAACGUCUCGCACCAACUUCUAUUUCUUGGUGUUCCCUGAUUAUUUUAACGAUAUACGUAUAAUUUAUAAUCUUGCGAAGAUUACAAAAGAAUCGAUUGUGAGAAUUUCCUGGUCUAAUUGACUACGUAGAAUUACUUUAACGUAGUCCCAACAUUGUCACGUCAAUCGACUACGCUAAAUAAAAUUAUAGAUUUUAGAUAA